GACGAACGCUGGCGGCGUGCUUAACACAUGCAAGUCGAACGCUGAAGCUCAGCUUUUGUUGGGUGGAUGAGUGGCGAACGGGUGAGUAACACGUGAGUAACCUGCCCCCUUCUUUGGGAUAACGCCCGGAAACGGGUGCUAAUACUGGAUAUUCACUGGUCUUCGCAUGGGGGUUGGUGGAAAGGGUUUUUCUGGUGGGGGAUGGGCUCGCGGCCUAUCAGCUUGUUGGUGGGGUGAUGGCCUGCCAAGGCUUUGACGGGUAGCCGGCCUGAGAGGGUGACCGGUCACAUUGGGACUGAGAUACGGCCCAGACUCCUACGGGAGGCAGCAGUGGGGAAUAUUGCACAAUGGGCGCAAGCCUGAUGCAGCGACGCCGCGUGAGGGAUGGAGGCCUUCGGGUUGUGAACCUCUUUCGCUCAUGGUCAAGCCGCAACAAUGGUUGUGGUGAGGGUAGUGGGUAAAGAAGCGCCGGCUAACUACGUG
This 483-nucleotide ribosomal RNA is filed under the name uncultured bacterium. RNAcentral describes it as "partial 16S ribosomal RNA". It matches the Rfam family "Bacterial small subunit ribosomal RNA", at positions 28 to 507 of the family's 1533-position model. The record is from RNAcentral.